This 214-nucleotide long non-coding RNA is filed under the name Hordeum vulgare. RNAcentral's name for it is "long non-coding RNA (HVUL_LNC010820)". Lineage: Eukaryota; Viridiplantae; Streptophyta; Magnoliopsida; Poales; Poaceae. The record is from RNAcentral.
GUGUGUGGUCUUCGCUGCUUUUUCUUAGUUAACCGUGCAAUGUAUAAUUUUGGGUCCGAUUUUCCUCAUUAACUGGACCAACUCUCUUCUUUUUAAUAAUGGUAUGAAAAACCAUAGCUCUAAGUCUGUUUGGGAAAAAAUUCAGGUCGAUUUGAUGCUUAUGCCAAAAUGGUCAGGAUAUAUGCCAUACAUAUGGUUCAAUUUUAGGAAGCAC